AGAUACUUCCUGGACAACUGCUAUAAAAACAACAACAAAUACUUUUAUUAAUUCGGGGAGCCUGGUCACCAACUGGAUGCUCAGAUGGAACCCUGAGCAGCCCAUGUACAUGGAAGAUCUUUAUUGCAGAGAUCUUCAAACCAGGAUCUUCUAAGGGUGUGAGGAUACAGGCGUCAAAGACCCCGUGCUGAGACAGCUCCAUAACAACAUGCAGAUAUUUGGCAAUGAGGGUUCAGAAGAGGACUUGCUGUGGAGAAGAGAGAAAAGAGAUGGGAAGACUCUGUGAAUGAAUAGAGAACACUCUGCAAGCAUCCCAGUUCCUUUGGUUGCCCUGCAGUCUGCAGGUACCAGGAGAAAUCAAAAGCCGCCUGGAAGGGCUUUCUGUCUGUAUGGAGUCAAGGCAGUGUCUUCAAAUCUGUGCUUUCUAAAACAAAGAAAUAACCUUGAUGAAACAAAUUUUCCCCAGAGGAAGGGGAGAGCCCACAGUGAGCUGGUAAAGAAGAUGCCUGGAGCAGGCAGCAUCCUCAAAUGGAAGAGAUGGUGUCUUGCUAUGUUGCCCAAGCUGGUCUUAAAUUCCUGGCAUCAAGUGAUCCUCCUGCCUCAGCCUCCCAAAGUACUGGGAUUACAGGUAUGAGCCAACGUGCUCAGUUCUUCAAGCAGAACUUUCUGACUUCCCUUUUUUUCCUGAAAGCAUAUAAAACUCCCAUGUAAAAGAUGCCCUCUCUGUACCAGGAGGAAAGAAAUAUCUUUAUCACCAGAGACAGAGACAAUUCUCUGUAAACAACCGAAUUUUGUUAAAACAACUCUUAUCUUUCUUUAGCUUUCCUGUAUAUUUUAAUUACUUUUUCACAAUUGCCUCACUUUGUCCAACAUAGUAGGAAAGCAUUGAGAUUUUGCAACUUCUUUGGGCCGUCGUUUCUUUAUAAAGUCUCUCAACUCACAUAAAACUUAAAAUUAAGUAAAUCUGUAUGUUCCUCUCCUGCUAGUCUGUUUUGUGUCAAUCUAAUUCUCAGGCCCUGCUGGGGUUCCUAUGAAGGUAGAGGUAAAGCUUUGUCUGCCCUACACCAUCCAACAUAGUAUCACUAAUUCUAUUUCAACCAGCAGUGUCUGACAUUACUUCUUUCCCACACCCUUCCCAACACUGAUAUUAUCACAUUUUAAAAACUUUGCUAAUCAGAUAGGUUAAAAAGUGGCAUCUCUUUUUUUAACCCAAAUUUGCCUAAUUACUGAUGACACUGAGGAUUUUUUGUAUUUUUCUUGGCCAUUCAACUUUCCUCCUGCCUGUUCAUGUUAUUUUCUCUUGGUCAUUUGUCUUUUGCUUAUGAAAUUCUCAUUUUUCUUAAUGUAUAUCACUAUACUAACUCUUUGAUACAUGGGCUGUAGAUAUCUUCUAAUAGACUAUUAUUCAUCUUUAUGUGAAUGUUUAUCAUACAGAGGUUUUAAAUUUCAAUGUGGUUACCUGCGCCCUGGAUCUGUUCUCUUCUCACUUCCUCAAGGACUUUUUUACUCCGUGGAUAAUGCCCCUACCCUUCCAGCUUCAACCUCACCCUAAGGAAUCCUUGCAAUUGUUGAGAAACAUACUCUAGUAUGUCCCACGUUUUACAACUUCUUCUUGACCCGUCUCUUUCUCCAAUUGCUGGCCUCUUUUUGCUUUGUUUCAUAGCAACAUUUCUCAAAAGACAGUUUUUUUCAUUCCCUCCACUUCCUCACCACCCCUCCC
RNAcentral lists this long non-coding RNA (1720 nucleotides) under Homo sapiens (human). RNAcentral describes it as "HSALNT0348906". Lineage: Eukaryota; Metazoa; Chordata; Mammalia; Primates; Hominidae. The record is from RNAcentral.